AUACGGAGGGGGUUAGCGUUGUUCGGAAUUACUGGGCGUAAAGCGCACGUAGGCGGACUGGAAAGUUGGGGGUGAAAUCCCGGGGCUCAACCCCGGAACUGCCUCCAAAACUUCCAAUCUAGAGAUCGAGAGAGGUGAGUGGAAUUCCAAGUGUAGAGAUGAAAUUCGUAGAUAUUUGGAGGAACACCAGUGGCGAAGGCGGCUCACUGGCUCGAUACUGACGCUGAGGUGCGAAAGCGUGGGGAGCAAACAGGAUUAGAAACCCUAGUAGUCC
Molecule: ribosomal RNA, 274 nt
Filed under: uncultured bacterium
Lineage: Bacteria
Description: partial 16S ribosomal RNA
Rfam family: Bacterial small subunit ribosomal RNA
Source: RNAcentral